CCUACGGGAGGCAGCAGUAGGGAAUCUUCCACAAUGGGCGAAAGCCUGAUGGAGCAACGCCGCGUGGGUGAAGAAGGUCUUCGGAUCGUAAAACCCUGUUGUUAGAGAAGAAUGUGCGUGUGAGUAACUGUUCACGUUUCGACGAUAUCUAACCAGAAAGCCACGGCUACCUACGUGCCAGGAGCCGCGGUAAUGCGUAGGUGGCAAGCGUUAUCCGGAUUUAUUGGGAGUAAAGGGAACGGAGGCGGUCAUUUAAUGCCGAUGUAAAAGCCGUCGGCUUAACUGGAGUAGUGCAUUGGAAACUGGGAGACGUGAGAGCAGAAGAGGAGAGUGGAACUCCAAGUGUAGCGGUGAAAUGCGUAGAUAUAUGGAAGAACACCAGUGGCGAAGGCGGCUCUCUGGUCUGUAACUGACGCUGAGGUUCGAAAGCGUGGGUAGCAAACAGGAUUAGAUACCCGGGUAGUC
Molecule: ribosomal RNA, 465 nt
Filed under: uncultured bacterium
Lineage: Bacteria
Description: partial 16S ribosomal RNA
Rfam family: Bacterial small subunit ribosomal RNA
Source: RNAcentral